This is a long non-coding RNA of Antechinus flavipes (yellow-footed antechinus), 919 nucleotides long. RefSeq lists it as uncharacterized. The transcript is spliced from 2 exons. The record is from RefSeq and is a predicted model, not a curated record. NCBI's taxonomy places the organism in Eukaryota, Metazoa, Chordata, Mammalia, Dasyuromorphia, Dasyuridae.
GGCAUGAGUGCUGGGAUAUUCAGUAAUCGCUUUGGUUCGCUUCUGGCUCCCGUUGUCUUCAUCAUCAGCAACUAUGCCUCGAUUCUGAAGCCCUUGUUGUUUGGGAUGGUACCAAUCCUUUCUGCAACUUCUGUCUACUUCCUGACUGAGACGCGUGGCCUUCCAUUUCUGGACACCAUUCAGGAGACGGAGAACAGGAUGAAGAGACCAUGGUUUUUGAGGGAAAAUGCCCGUAAAGAUGAACAGAUCACUCCAUCCUUGCUCCCUCCUGCCAUGGCAGAAACAGAAAGCACAGUCUAAUGUUUUCUUUAAGACUUUGGUCCAUAUUUCUGAAGUCAAGUUUAGGUCAAGUUUUCAUCAUAUUUUCUUGCUUUGAAGUUAGAUCCGAUGUCUCCUGAUUGAGAAUGGCCACUGGCCACUGAGAGGGUGGAAUUAACUAGACAGGUCUAGAUUCUCUGCAAUUCAACCAAUUAAUAAUCUGAAAGGUUAAACAGCACAUCUCCAAAGGAGACCAAUUAAAAUGAAGAGAAAUACAUUGAUUCCUUUCCUCUACUUGGCUAUAUAAAGAAGUGUUGUCUUCUGGGAGAUGCCGCCCUUAUACUAUCUUGUAUUAUUCAAUAAUUAAGAUAUUGCAUGGAGUUGUAAGAAAAAUAUCUCUGGGAAAUUCUAUUUAAAUGAUUAUAAGACUUCUGAUGCCAAGGUGCUGACGCAAUUUAUAAUUUUCCUUUUGAUUAUAUCUUCUUGGACUAGUAAACUAAUCCUGUCCUCAAAUAAGAAAUACAAAUACAAAAGAAAGUAAAUAAAGCCUGCACUAAGAAAAUAACUUCGGACACCAGAGUCUCUUGGGAAACCAACAAAUCUAUCUGUACUUUUGAGAGUGCAUCUUUAGUGUGAAGAUUAAAAUCAUUAUAGAGUAAAA